GAGCGAACAGGAUUAGAUACCCUGGUAGUCCAUGCCGUAAACGUUGGGCACUAGGUGUGGGGGACAUUCCACGUUUUCCGCGCCGUAGCUAACGCAUUAAGUGCCCCGCCUGGGGAGUACGGCCGCAAGGCUAAAACUCAAAGGAAUUGACGGGGGCCCGCACAAGCGGCGGAGCAUGCGGAUUAAUUCGAUGCAACGCGAAGAACCUUACCAAGGCUUGACAUGUGCCAGACCGCUCCAGAGAUGGGGUUUCCCUUCGGGGCUGGUUCACAGGUGGUGCAUGGUUGUCGUCAGCUCGUGUCGUGAGAUGUUGGGUUAAGUCCCGCAACGAGCGCAACCCUCGUUCCAUGUUGCCAGCACGUAGUGGUGGGGACUCAUGAGAUCCCCCUACCCAC
This 395-nucleotide ribosomal RNA is filed under the name Arthrobacter sp. BHUAS X16. Its description in RNAcentral is "bacterial SSU rRNA". It matches the Rfam family "Bacterial small subunit ribosomal RNA", at positions 766 to 1159 of the family's 1533-position model. Lineage: Bacteria; Bacillati; Actinomycetota; Actinomycetes; Micrococcales; Micrococcaceae. The record is from RNAcentral.